ACGGCCAUACCAUGCUAAAUAUACCGGUAUACAUUAGAUCACCGAAGUCAAGCAUCAUUGGGCGCGGUCAGUACUUUGGUGGGUGACCACCUGGGAACACCGCGUGCCGUU
Molecule: ribosomal RNA, 111 nt
Filed under: Caerostris extrusa
Lineage: Eukaryota; Metazoa; Arthropoda; Arachnida; Araneae; Araneidae
Source: RNAcentral